CUCUAAGCAUAUGCAAACAUAUAAACAUAUUUUAACAUAUGAACAAUGUUCGUGUGCAUAAUCAAGAAAAAAAAAUAAAGCAUGUCUAAAUAUAUGAUUUUUUUCUUCUUGCUAAUCAAUGAUUUUAUAAAGAUAUAUGAUUACGUAGCUAGCAAAAUUUGCAAUGACGUUUUAUCAAAUAAUAUAAACGUUAAAAAUGUAACUAAGUUCAAUAAUAUUGAAACUGUAAAAUCAAGUUAUAAUAAACAUUUAAAACAUUUAAAAAAAACAGAAAAUGAAAUAUACAACAGAACACAACAAGAAUAUAAUGAGAAUAUUGAAAGUACAAACAUAAAUAUUUUGAACAACCAUUUUUACAAUCAGUUUGAACAAAAUUAUUUAAAAUUUACGAAAGCAUAUUCUCGAAAAAAAAAAAAAAAUCAUAAAAGUAACGAUAAAAAUGAUAUAAAGUGCCAAUCAUUUGUUUAUCACAACUCGCAGCACAAUGAAGAAAAGUUACCAAAAACGCAAAACAAAAAAAACAAAGUUAUGAAAGUGUUUAAAAACGUAACAAAUGGCAACAGCGUAAUAAAUGGCAACAUCGUAAUAAAUGGCAAAAAAGUAACAUGUGGCCAAAACGUAAAACAUAGAAACAGGUUUAACAACGCAACUAAUCGUUUUUUUUCAAACAAAGGAGGACGGGUUUAUAUUUACUCUACAUACCCUAUGCUUUAUAUUAAUCUGUGUACAAAAUAUAUGAAAACAAAAAAAAAAAUAUAUAUAUCUCAGAAAAUAUGAAGAUUUGUAUAAAAAGUUCACACCAGAAUUAGUAGAAGAAAAUGAUGAUACAAAUAACGAACUCAAUCAAAACAAACCAUCAAGUAGCACAUUAAUUGACUGGUGUUUAGAAAAAAAUAAUUUCCAAAAAAAGUAUAAUAUGACUUUAAUGUAUGACCAUAUAUCGAAUUUGCAUAAUAACGAAUAUCAAAAUGUAAAGAGUGUAACUAAUUUUAUAAAAAACAACGAAGUAAUUAAUAAAGAAGAAUGGGAAAAUAAUAAAUGGC
Molecule: long non-coding RNA, 1043 nt
Filed under: Piliocolobus tephrosceles (Ugandan red Colobus)
Lineage: Eukaryota; Metazoa; Chordata; Mammalia; Primates; Cercopithecidae
Description: lncRNA (ENSPTEG00000010887.1)
Source: RNAcentral